GCAGAACAGUAGGAAAAACUUAUACUCACAUGAUAGAGGUACAAAUAAGUUUCGCCAUAGAAAGGAGUCAGUGCCAGAACUACUGAAACAUGAAUAUCUUCUGCAGACAGUUGUCUGUGCUCCAAACCAGCUGGAUACAAGGUAGUUCUUGUUCGAAAGUCAUGUGGCAGAGUUACUGGAAACGUGAGCUGUAGCUACUGCAUCCUUCUUCUUGGUUCAGCAAAAAGCAAGAUGGAAAGUCAAAGCUACUGGUUAUGCUGUAGAGUUUCAUGCUGUAAUCUUAUUUUCCAUGUAGGAAAGGAUGCUUAGUUUUGAGUACUUAGGGCCACUGCACAUGGGGUGGGCAGGUUUGUGAUGAAAAUUUAUUUCGUAUGAUGUAUAAAUGUUGGCAUGGUUCAAUAUGUGAGCAUCUGUAGUACGAGUAGGUAAAUACUUGUGUGUGUGUGUAUACAUAAAAAAAUUCUUCUUUUAUUAAGCGUGAACUUACCUUUGCUGUAAUAUCAGUGAAAUUUGAACAUGCUUAUAAAUACUAAGAAUAAAAACAGUCAUUGAAAAUAUUUGCUUC
RNAcentral lists this long non-coding RNA (565 nucleotides) under Phasianus colchicus (ring-necked pheasant). Its description in RNAcentral is "lncRNA (ENSPCLG00000006348.1)". Lineage: Eukaryota; Metazoa; Chordata; Aves; Galliformes; Phasianidae. The record is from RNAcentral.